CCUACGGGGGGCAGCAGCAAGGAAUUUUCGGCAAUGGGCGCAAGCCUGACCGAGCAACGCCGCGUGGAGGAUGACGGCUCUUGGGUUGUAAACUCCUUUUGGGGGGGACGAUGAUGACGGUACCCUCCGAAUCAGGCCCGGCUAACUACGUGCCAGCAGCCGCGGUAAUACGUAGGGGCCAAGCGUUGUCCGGAAUUACUGGGCGUAAAGCGUGGGUAGGUGGUCGGUGAUGUGCCGCGUGAAAGCGCCGGAGUAAUGCCGGCGAGGUCGCGGUAGACACAUUGACUGGAGGCUCGCAGAGGAACGUGGAAUUCCCGGUGUAGUGGUGAAAUGCGUAGAUAUCGGGAGGAACACCAGUGGCGCAAGCGGCGUUCUGGGCGAGACCUGACACUGAGGCACGAAAGCGUGGGGAGCAAACAGGAUUAGAUACCCCAGUAGUC
RNAcentral lists this ribosomal RNA (440 nucleotides) under Microbispora sp. KK1-11. RNAcentral's name for it is "bacterial SSU rRNA". It matches the Rfam family "Bacterial small subunit ribosomal RNA", at positions 338 to 795 of the family's 1533-position model. The record is from RNAcentral. Lineage: Bacteria; Bacillati; Actinomycetota; Actinomycetes; Streptosporangiales; Streptosporangiaceae.